RNAcentral lists this ribosomal RNA (256 nucleotides) under uncultured bacterium. Its description in RNAcentral is "partial 16S ribosomal RNA". It matches the Rfam family "Bacterial small subunit ribosomal RNA", at positions 524 to 776 of the family's 1533-position model. The record is from RNAcentral.
UACGAAGGGGGGCUAGCGUUGCUCGGAAUGACUGGGCGUAAAGGGCGCGUAGGCGGAUGGCACAGUCAGAUGUGAAAUUCCCGGGCUUAACCUGGGGGGCUGCAUUUGAUACGUGUUGUCUUGAGUUCGGAAGAGGGUCGUGGAAUUCCCAGUGUAGAGGUGAAAUUCGUAGAUAUUGGGAAGAACACCGGUGGCGAAGGCGGCGACCUGGUCCGACACUGACGCUGAGGCGCGAAAGCGUGGGGGAGCAAACAGG